This 85-nucleotide non-coding RNA is filed under the name Paenibacillus wynnii. RNAcentral describes it as "c-di-GMP-II sequence". It matches the Rfam family "Cyclic di-GMP-II riboswitch aptamer". Lineage: Bacteria; Bacillati; Bacillota; Bacilli; Caryophanales; Paenibacillaceae. The record is from Rfam by way of RNAcentral.
GAAAAUUAGGGAAGCGAUGAUGUAUAAUCCUUUACUUGGACACUUGGGUUAUACGGAGCUGGUAGUGUAACCGGCCCUCUUAGAA